Molecule: ribosomal RNA, 279 nt
Filed under: uncultured bacterium
Lineage: Bacteria
Description: partial 16S ribosomal RNA
Rfam family: Bacterial small subunit ribosomal RNA
Source: RNAcentral
UGCCAGCAGCCGCGGUAAUACGGAGGGUGCGAGCGUUAAUCGGAAUUACUGGGCGUAAAGCGCAUGCAGGUGGUUCAUUAAGUCAGAUGUGAAAGCCCGGGGCUCAACCUCGGAACUGCAUUUGAAACUGGUGAACUAGAGUGCUGUAGAGGGGGGUAGAAUUUCAGGUGUAGCGGUGAAAUGCGUAGAGAUCUGAAGGAAUACCAGUGGCGAAGGCGGCCCCCUGGACAGACACUGACACUCAGAUGAGAAGUCGUGGAUAGCAUUCAGGAUUAGAUC